CCUACGGGAGGCAGCAGUGAGGAAUAUUGGUCAAUGGCCGGAAGGCUGAACCAGCCAUGCCGCGUGAAGGUCAGUGCCCUAUGGGCGUUAAACUUCUUUUGUGCGGGAGCAAUAAUGGUCACGUGUGGCCAGACGAGAGUACCGUACGAAUAAGCAUCGGCUAACCCCGGGCCAGCAGCCGCGGUAAAACUGGGGAGGCAAGCGUUAUCCGGAUUUAUUGGGUUUAAAGGGUGCGUAGGCUGUGAGGUAAGUCAGGGGUGAAAUGCCCCCGCUCAACGGGGUGAAGUGCCAUUGAUACUGCCUUGCUUGAAUGCGGAUGCCGUGGGAGGAAUGUGUGGUGUAGCGGUGAAAUGCAUAGAUAUCACACAGAACACCGAUUGCGAAGGCAUCUCACGAAUCCGCGAUUGACGCUGAUGCACGAAAGCGUGGGUAUCAAACAGGAUUAGAUACCCCAGUAGUC
Molecule: ribosomal RNA, 460 nt
Filed under: uncultured bacterium
Lineage: Bacteria
Description: partial 16S ribosomal RNA
Rfam family: Bacterial small subunit ribosomal RNA
Source: RNAcentral